RNAcentral lists this ribosomal RNA (488 nucleotides) under uncultured Flavobacteriaceae bacterium. RNAcentral's name for it is "bacterial SSU rRNA". It matches the Rfam family "Bacterial small subunit ribosomal RNA", at positions 419 to 905 of the family's 1533-position model. The record is from RNAcentral. Lineage: Bacteria; Pseudomonadati; Bacteroidota; Flavobacteriia; Flavobacteriales; Flavobacteriaceae.
UGGGUUGUAAACUGCUUUUAUACAGGAAGAAUAAGCCGUACGUGUAAGGUGAUGACGGUACUGUAAGAAUAAGGACCGGCUAACUCCGUGCCAGCAGCCGCGGUAAUACGGAGGGUCCGAGCGUUAUCCGGAAUUAUUGGGUUUAAAGGGUCCGUAGGCGGAUGAUUAAGUCAGGGGUGAAAGUUUGCAGCUCAACUGUAAAAUUGCCUUUGAUACUGGUUAUCUUGAGUUGUAUUGAAGUAGGCGGAAUAUGUAGUGUAGCGGUGAAAUGCAUAGAUAUUACAUAGAACACCAAUUGCGAAGGCAGCUUACUAAGUACUAACUGACGCUGAUGGACGAAAGCGUGGGUAGCGAACAGGAUUAGAUACCCUGGUAGUCCACGCCGUAAACGAUGGAUACUAGCUGUUCGGGGCCUUGAGCUCUGAGCGGCUAAGCGAAAGUGAUAAGUAUCCCACCUGGGGAGUACGUUCGCAAGAAUGAAACUCAAA